UCGAACGGACUCAUAUUGAAACCUAGUGAUUUAUGAGUUAGUGGCGGACGGGUGAGUAACGCGUGGAUAACCUGCCGUAUACCGGGGGAUAACACUUAGAAAUAGGUGCUAAUACCGCAUAAGCGCACGGCUCCGCAUGGGGCAGUGUGAAAAACUCCGGUGGUAUACGAUGGAUCCGCGUCUGAUUAGCUAGUUGGCGGGGUAACGGCCCACCAAGGCAGCGAUCAGUAGCCGGCCUGAGAGGGUGGACGGCCACAUUGGGACUGAGACACGGCCCAAACUCCUACGGGAGGCAGCAGUGGGGAAUAUUGCACAAUGGGGGAAACCCUGAUGCAGCGACGCCGCGUGAGUGAAGAAGUAUCUCGGUACGUAAAGCUCUAUCAGCAGGGAAGAAAAUGACGGUACCUGACUAAGAAGCCCCGGCUAACUACGUGCCAGCAGCCGCGGUAAUACGUAGGGGGCAAGCGUUAUCCGGAUUUACUGGGUGUAAAGGGAGCGUAGACGGCAGCACAAGUCUGGAGUGAAAUCCCGGGGCUUAACCCCGGAACUGCUUUGGAAACUGUGCGGCUGGAGUGCAGGAGGGGUAAGCGGAAUUCCUAGUGUAGCGGUGAAAUGCGUAGAUAUUAGGAGGAACACCGGUGGUGAAGGCG
This 650-nucleotide ribosomal RNA is filed under the name uncultured bacterium. RNAcentral describes it as "bacterial SSU rRNA". It matches the Rfam family "Bacterial small subunit ribosomal RNA", at positions 62 to 723 of the family's 1533-position model. The record is from RNAcentral.